UAACCGCUUAAUAUAUGCCAUAAUCAAUCAAUCAAUGGUAUUUGUUGAGCGUUUACG
RNAcentral lists this microRNA precursor (57 nucleotides) under Ornithorhynchus anatinus (platypus). RNAcentral's name for it is "Oan-Novel-10_pre stem-loop". The record is from RNAcentral. Lineage: Eukaryota; Metazoa; Chordata; Mammalia; Monotremata; Ornithorhynchidae.